GCUGGCGGCCAGCAGAUACGGAACCAGUGCCCCUCAAUUGGAGAGAUUUGGUUGACUUCAGUAAUAGGUUGAGAUCCCUUAGCAUUGUUGGUGAUCUAUGAAAUUGCUUCUUACCAUGAUCUCAAUGAGCUAUGUUUAGUACUGAGGAGCAGCAGCUUGGUCGGAGGUUUGUUCAGGAGCUUGGUUUCUAGAGACAAAGCUAAUAUUGGGACGCGAACAGGCAACUGAAUAGGCAUCUCUCUAGUAUUUAUGCCUUUGGCUGUACAUUAUGAAGCCGUCAUGCGGCCUGAAUGGGACGUAUUGCGAGAGAAACCAGCGAAGGUAGUUCAAAAAAAGAAACACAUUGAUCAGCA
Molecule: small RNA, 353 nt
Filed under: Histoplasma capsulatum var. duboisii H88
Lineage: Eukaryota; Fungi; Ascomycota; Eurotiomycetes; Onygenales; Ajellomycetaceae
Description: Histoplasma capsulatum H88 hypothetical RNA
Source: RNAcentral